GUAGAAUUAUAAUCUGGGAUUCCCGUUGUGACACGUAAAUAAGAGCACAGAAAAUCGGAUAUUGGAUCGAGAGAAGUGGAAUUUCUGAAUGUAAUUAUAAAAAGCUCCAGCAGACACAUGAGUCAGUCCUCAGCAGAUUUAGCUGCCUCUCCGCAGCCACCACUGACGUGCCCGCGCUGUAAGAACACAGGAGCUCGGAAGGUGAGCGGUCAGCUGGCCGUUUGCCGUAGCUGCUCGCCCUUUAUGAGGCGUGUGUACCAGUUCUGCUGGGCCUGCAGGAGAGAGUGGACUGGCCAGGCGGGAUCGGGGGUGUGCCGCCGCCCUGACUGCGCCCUCCGUGCUGCCCUGCUCUCCUCCGAGGUAAUCAGGAAUCAAAGCAGCUCCGUCAACGGCUGCCCAUUCUUCAGGGCCUGUCCUGGAUGCACGGCCCUCCUCACACACACCGGAGACGGCUGCCCCAACAUCGAAUGCCCACAAUGCGAAAAGAGUUUCUGCUUCCGCUGCCUGAAGACGGAAUGUGAUUAUGAUUAUGAUUAUGAUAGUGAUGAUGAUGAUGAUGAUUUUAAUGAUGAUGAUAUAGAUGUGUUAGAGGUUCCGUCACAUUAUACAUGUACUAUUGUGGAUAAUAGUCGGACGAUCAUAGAUUAGGGACUCGGGAGUAUAGGGCCCGGUGUUGAACAGUAGUGACUUUUGAUGUGAAUAUUUUUUGUCAUACUGACAUCAGUACUUUUACAAAAACUAUUAAUCAGUAGUAUACCUUUCUUUGUUAGAGAAAAUCACGGGAAAAAAAUAUAUUUAUUAAAAUAUUGUUUUAGUUGUU
Molecule: long non-coding RNA, 820 nt
Organism: Osmerus eperlanus (European smelt)
Lineage: Eukaryota; Metazoa; Chordata; Actinopteri; Osmeriformes; Osmeridae
Exons: 3
Source: RefSeq, a predicted model, not a curated record